CUGGGGAGCGAGAGCGCGCUAGGUCUCCCGCUCGCCGCCGCCGCCACCGUGCCGGGCCUCCGCUGUCGCCGCCGAAGUUGGCGCCGCCGGAUGACGGGCCAUUAACAAUCUUAUCACCCCUCGUCUAGAUCUGGCCUGUCGAGUAGGCUUGACAAACCCAACAACCUAGAUCGGAAACCGGAGAACUUUGACAACGCAGAGCGACAUUGGCUAUCCUUCCUGCUUAUUUAACGGUGCCACUUCUUUAGAGGGGCUGGGGAUUACGACGUAGGAAGGUAAGAGAGGGUGUGUGUUGCGCGAAACCGCGAGUGAAAAGAAGUACGGACGUAAUGGCCGCGAAGGCGGAGGUACGGAGGUGAGAGUCGGUGGAGGCGGAUACCUGGAGGAGAGGGACGGCGGCGGCGCGGACAAAGGAGGGAUGCCGUUGCUACACAGUACGGAGGCGGAGGGGGUAGAGGAGACGUGACACUCACCACGGCCGAGGAGGAGUCGGGGGUAGAAACCCACAGGUUCUGCUCCCCGUUUUCCAGGUCAUCCACCACGGUAGAGGUGGAGGUGGGAGUGGAGAAGUUGCGACGGAGGCGUAAACACUGGCGAAACCACGUGGUCUACUCCUGGUACUGCAGGUCUCCACCUUUGUGUCGGGACCCCUCCGUGGGGAAGUCCAGAAUUAAGUAAUGCAGUACGGAGACCUUGAUAGCCCUGACUUCUCUGACAAGAACCCAUCUUGGACGACUCCGUCUCGACGAUGAUCUGAAGACCUUAUUCCUUUUUCGGUGUUUGUCACCGCUGAAACUCUUACUCCCCCGUUUAAGUCGAGUACACCGUAGUCUAAAUUAAAAGAGCAGGUUCUUUUCGUCCUAAGGCAACUUUCUUCUUGAACUUCUACCAUCAUAAGCAGCAGUUCCCUCCUCACCUUCUCCGUGAUAAAACGUACAAUUUCCCACAAGUAGGUAUGGUUUUCUCUUCAACCUGUCGUGACUUUGUUCCUUCAACCAUUUCUCAAUUCAAUCCGGCAGUUCUUUCCAAGCCUGGCGUUUCGUAGUAGAGUCGUGAGUCUUUAAGACUUAACACCCAGUUACCUACGAUGUCUACUGGCUCUUCUCGAAGAUCGACGACGUUUACGACGGGUACCACGGUAUCAACCACGCAUACGACCAGGAAAAACCUUCUUUUAUAGUGGGUACGAAUGAAAGUAGUCGAGACUUCUAAAUAGGAAGAAUUUUUUGGUCUAUUAUAAAAACCUUCUCGAACUCUACCCGUACAGAUUAUUCGUGCUUCUUCUAUUCAAUUGACGUAGGUGAUUGAUGUUACCCGGUGGUAGUUACCGUGAAGGGGAAGACGGUGAGGGGAUGAGAAUAGCACGUUCUACAAAAGUCAACUCGUAAGGAGGGGUCCAAGAUGGAGGUAGGUUAAGAAGAAACAACGACCUAGUUCCCCUUCGUUUACCACAACCUGGUUCUCUUAGACAACUGUAAAACAGAAUAUUACCGUUCUUAGUAUUGUUGUGUAGAGUUUUCCGUGUCCCCGUUCCUUAUAAACCACUUUACCGAGGGAACUGUUCAUGUGACGAGACACGAAACUAACAUCUUCUACAACUACUGAAAGGGCUCAGGUUACCACAGGUUCCUCUAUAUGAAGACCUCAAGAGGUUACUGAUGUAAGGAGCACGACGGCGUCAACUCAAACUUCGAUACCCGAUCUUAGGUCAAAACCCUACAGGGGACUAAAGUUCGUAAGUAUGUCAUUGGGUCGUAUAUUGACGUACAGGUUACCAAAGAGUGAAAGGUCAUUAAACUCCGCGAGUAUAUCAGUUUAAAGUCAAACGUCAUUCUUAGAUAGUCUACCCUAUUUACAAUACCCCAUAGGUCUUUUGCCGAGAAACGUAUCUAGUCAUGGCGUCUAAUGUGUCGUCAUAGUUUGAGGGCCUUUUCUAAAUAAAAAUGGUUAUAUACCUAUAAUGAUACGUGUCUACAGAAACGUACUGUCCUGAAACCAGUUCAACGUGUCAUAACUGUAAAAAGGUCUCUACGGUCUCGACCUGCUCCCUCUCCUACUCCUAUAAUUAUUUCAAUAAAAAACUCGGCGUCUUUUCUGAGAAACUAGUCCCGUCUUCGUCGUGACCUCCACCGACCGCCACCGUCCCUCUGGGGCCUCAACUCCUCCGGUCUUCCCGAGUACACCGACAGUUGCGGGUAGUAGAGGUACAGUGUGAUUUCCCACUUCUUACACUCGUAGGUCUCAUAUAGUAAGCGCCCGGUGGGGGACGAUAGGUCAUGACGCCUCUCGAACUUUUUAUGACAGUGACCCCGUUACUUCAAUUCGAGAUAGUCGUGGUACACUUGUGGAACAAACGGUACAAGGCGGCGUUUUUCCGUCUGUAGUUUAUGAUACACACGUGGUAGUUGUUUUGUAAAAGUUUCGGUCCGGUCGCGCACAUAAAAGUCCAAAUGAUGUGACUUUUUUGGACUUCCUAAUGUAACUGGGUCUACUACUAUGUGAGUUCCACUUUGAACGUUUGUCACUUGACGUGCGGUUUACAGCGUAGUACGAUCCUUGGCUGUUCUCUCGGUGGUAUUGGUGGUUGACGUCCUGUAAUCUCCUCGUACGCUGUGUGGAGUUCUAGUGUAACCUUUAGGAUGUUAGUCAAUUCGACGGGUUUACGUAGAAACGUUGUCUGUUCUCUCUGAAGUCAGGGCGAUCAUCAAGGCGAACCUGAAGCUGCAAAUCGAGCAAUGGAGUCGAUACUAGAACACGGGAGCCGUCCUAGAACAUCUAUCAGUCCGAAGACUCGAAAGAAGAGAACAUCAACAG
Molecule: ribosomal RNA, 2814 nt
Filed under: Triticum aestivum (bread wheat)
Lineage: Eukaryota; Viridiplantae; Streptophyta; Magnoliopsida; Poales; Poaceae
Description: partial small subunit ribosomal RNA
Source: RNAcentral